GGAAUAUUGGACAAUGGGCGCAAGCCUGAUCCAGCCAUGCCGCGUGAGUGAUGAAGGCCCUAGGGUUGUAAAGCUCUUUCACCGGUGAAGAUAAUGACGGUAACCGGAGAAGAAGCCCCGGCUAACUUCGUGCCAGCAGCCGCGGUAAUACGAAGGGGGCUAGCGUUGUUCGGAUUUACUGGGCGUAAAGCGCACGUAGGCGGAUCAUUAAGUCGGGGGUGAAAUCCUGGAGCUCAACUCCAGAACUGCCUUCGAUACUGAGAGCCUUGAGUCCGGGAGAGGUGAGUGGAACUGCGAGUGUAGAGGUGAAAUUCGUAGAUAUUCGCAAGAACACCAGUGGCGAAGGCGGCUCACUGGCCCGGUACUGACGCUGAGGUGCGAAAGCGUGGGGAGCAA
This 396-nucleotide ribosomal RNA is filed under the name uncultured bacterium. RNAcentral's name for it is "bacterial SSU rRNA". It matches the Rfam family "Bacterial small subunit ribosomal RNA", at positions 358 to 771 of the family's 1533-position model. The record is from RNAcentral.